RNAcentral lists this transfer RNA (71 nucleotides) under Fukomys damarensis (Damara mole-rat). It matches the Rfam family "tRNA". Rfam says of the family: Transfer RNA (tRNA) molecules are approximately 80 nucleotides in length. Their secondary structure includes four short double-helical elements and three loops (D, anti-codon, and T loops). The record is from Rfam by way of RNAcentral. Lineage: Eukaryota; Metazoa; Chordata; Mammalia; Rodentia; Bathyergidae.
GGGGACGUAGCUUAGUGGUGGAGUACUUGCUUAUCAUGCAUGAGGCCUUGGAUUCAAUCCCAGUUAUCCCA